AUUGAACGCUGGCGGCAUGCUUUACACAUGCAAGUCGAACGGCAGCGCGGGGCAACCUGGCGGCGAGUGGCGAACGGGUGAGUAAUAUAUCGGAACGUACCCAAGAGUGGGGGAUAACGUAGCGAAAGUUACGCUAAUACCGCAUACGAUCUUAGGAUGAAAGCAGGGGACCGCAAGGCCUUGUGCUCCUGGAGCGGCCGAUAUCUGAUUAGCUAGUUGGUGAGGUAAAGGCUCACCAAGGCGACGAUCAGUAGCUGGUCUGAGAGGACGACCAGCCACACUGGGACUGAGACACGGCCCAGACUCCUACGGGAGGCAGCAGUGGGGAAUCUUGCGCAAUGGACGAAAGUCUGACGCAGCCACGCCGCGUGAGUGAAGAAGGCCUUCGGGUUGUAAAGCUCUGUCGCUCGGGACGAAAAAGCAGUGGGUUAAUAGCCCAUUGAACUGACGGUACCGAGAGAGGAAGCACCGGCUAACUUCGUGCCAGCCGCCGCGGUAA
This 499-nucleotide ribosomal RNA is filed under the name uncultured bacterium. Its description in RNAcentral is "partial 16S ribosomal RNA". It matches the Rfam family "Bacterial small subunit ribosomal RNA", at positions 29 to 523 of the family's 1533-position model. The record is from RNAcentral.